RNAcentral lists this ribosomal RNA (2891 nucleotides) under Acinetobacter baumannii 45057_1. Its description in RNAcentral is "bacterial LSU rRNA". It matches the Rfam family "Bacterial large subunit ribosomal RNA". The record is from RNAcentral. Lineage: Bacteria; Pseudomonadati; Pseudomonadota; Gammaproteobacteria; Moraxellales; Moraxellaceae.
UCAAGUAAUUAAGUGCAUGUGGUGGAUGCCUUGGCAGUCAGAGGCGAUGAAAGACGUGAUAGCCUGCGAAAAGCUCCGGGGAGGCGGCAAAUAUCCUUUGAUCCGGAGAUGUCUGAAUGGGGGAACCCACCUACUUUAAGGUAGGUAUUGCAACAUGAAUACAUAGUGUUGCAAGGCGAACGAGGGGAAGUGAAACAUCUCAGUACCCUUAGGAAAAGAAAUCAAUUGAGAUUCCCUCAGUAGCGGCGAGCGAACGGGGAUCAGCCCAUUAAGUUAUGUGUGUUUUAGUGGAACGCUCUGGGAAGUGCGAACGUAGAGGGUGAUAUUCCCGUACACGAAAGGGCACACAUAAUGAUGACGAGUAGGGCGAGGCACGUGAAACCUUGUCUGAAUAUGGGGGGACCAUCCUCCAAGGCUAAAUACUCCUGACUGACCGAUAGUGAACCAGUACCGUGAGGGAAAGGCGAAAAGAACCCCUGUGAGGGGAGUGAAAUAGAUCCUGAAACCGCAUGCAUACAAGCAGUGGGAGCACCUUCGUGGUGUGACUGCGUACCUUUUGUAUAAUGGGUCAGCGACUUAUAUUCAGUAGCAAGGUUAACCGUAUAGGGGAGCCGUAGAGAAAUCGAGUCUUAAUAGGGCGUUUAGUUGCUGGGUAUAGACCCGAAACCAGGCGAUCUAUCCAUGAGCAGGUUGAAGGUUGGGUAACACUAACUGGAGGACCGAACCCACUGUCGUUGAAAAGCCAGGGGAUGACUUGUGGAUAGGGGUGAAAGGCUAAUCAAGCCUGGUGAUAGCUGGUUCUCCCCGAAAGCUAUUUAGGUAGCGCCUCGGACGAAUACCAUAGGGGGUAGAGCACUGUUUCGGCUAGGGGGUCAUCCCGACUUACCAAACCGAUGCAAACUCCGAAUACCUAUGAGUACUAUCCGGGAGACAGACUGCGGGUGCUAACGUCCGUAGUCAAGAGGAAAACAAUCCAGACCGCCAGCUAAGGCCCCAAAAUCAUAGUUAAGUGGGAAACGAUGUGGGAAGGCAUAGACAGCUAGGAGGUUGGCUUAGAAGCAGCCACCCUUUAAAGAAAGCGUAAUAGCUCACUAGUCGAGUCGGCCUGCGCGGAAGAUGUAACGGGGCUAAAACUAUGUGCCGAAGCUGCGGAUGUAUACUUUGUAUACGUGGUAGGGGAGCGUUCUGUAAGCCGAUGAAGGUGUGUUGAGAAGCAUGCUGGAGGUAUCAGAAGUGCGAAUGCUGACGUGAGUAACGACAAAACGGGUGAAAAACCCGUUCGCCGAAAGACCAAGGGUUCCAGUCCAACGUUAAUCGGGGCUGGGUGAGUCGACCCCUAAGGCGAGGCCGAAAGGCGUAGUCGAUGGGAAAAUGGUUAAUAUUCCAUUACUUCUGUGUAAUGCGAUGAGAGGACGGAGAAGGCUAAAUCAGCCUGGCGUUGGUUGUCCAGGUGAAAGGAUGUAGGCAUGUAUCUUAGGCAAAUCCGGGGUACUCUAUGCUGAGAUCUGAUAGCAAGCUGUACUUGUACAGCGAAGUGGUUGAUGCCAUGCUUCCAGGAAAAGUCUCUAAGCUUCAGUUACACAGGAAUCGUACCCGAAACCGACACAGGUGGUCAGGUCGAGUAGACCAAGGCGCUUGAGAGAACUCUGCUGAAGGAACUAGGCAAAAUGGUACCGUAACUUCGGGAGAAGGUACGCUGUUGUUGGUGAUGGAACUCGCUUCCUGAGCUGACGACAGCCGCAGAAACCAGGCCGCUGCAACUGUUUAUUAAAAACAUAGCACUCUGCAAACACGAAAGUGGACGUAUAGGGUGUGAUGCCUGCCCGGUGCUGGAAGGUUAAUUGAUGGGGUUAGCGUAAGCGAAGCUCUUGAUCGAAGCCCCAGUAAACGGCGGCCGUAACUAUAACGGUCCUAAGGUAGCGAAAUUCCUUGUCGGGUAAGUUCCGACCUGCACGAAUGGCAUAAUGAUGGCGGCGCUGUCUCCAGCAGAGGCUCAGUGAAAUCGAAAUCGCUGUGAAGAUGCAGUGUACCCGCGGCUAGACGGAAAGACCCCGUGAACCUUUACUGCAGCUUGACACUGAACUUUGACCUUACUUGUGUAGGAUAGGUGGGAGGCUUUGAAGCUGGAACGCUAGUUCCAGUGGAGCCGUCCUUGAAAUACCACCCUGGUAAUGUUGAGGUUCUAACUCUGUCCCGUGAUCCGGGACGAGGACCGUGUCUGGUGGGUAGUUUGACUGGGGCGGUCUCCUCCUAAAGAGUAACGGAGGAGUACGAAGGUGCGCUCAGCGUGGUCGGAAAUCACGCGUAGAGUAUAAAGGCAAAAGCGCGCUUAACUGCGAGACCCACAAGUCGAGCAGGUACGAAAGUAGGUCUUAGUGAUCCGGUGGUUCUGUAUGGAAGGGCCAUCGCUCAACGGAUAAAAGGUACUCUGGGGAUAACAGGCUGAUACCGCCCAAGAGUUCAUAUCGACGGCGGUGUUUGGCACCUCGAUGUCGGCUCAUCUCAUCCUGGGGCUGAAGCAGGUCCCAAGGGUAUGGCUGUUCGCCAUUUAAAGAGGUACGCGAGCUGGGUUUAGAACGUCGUGAGACAGUUCGGUCCCUAUCUACCGUGGGCGCUGGAAAUUUGAGAGGAUCUGCUCCUAGUACGAGAGGACCAGAGUGGACGAACCUCUGGUGUACCGGUUGUGACGCCAGUCGCAUCGCCGGGUAGCUAAGUUCGGAAGGGAUAACCGCUGAAAGCAUCUAAGCGGGAAGCCUACCUCAAGAUAAGAUUUCCCUAGGACUUUAUGUCCUCUAAAGAGCCGUUCGAGACUAGGACGUUGAUAGGUUGGAUGUGGAAGCAUAGUGAUAUGUGAAGCUGACCAAUACUAAUUGCUCGUGAGGCUUGACUAU